Long non-coding RNA from Bos taurus (domestic cattle), 2409 nucleotides. Lineage: Eukaryota; Metazoa; Chordata; Mammalia; Artiodactyla; Bovidae. The record is from Ensembl.
AAACCCACCAGGCCAUGUGAGUGGGAGUCCUCAACUUGGCUCAGCUGUCCAGGCAAACCCAGCAGCGGAUGGGCCUCCUGGUCCUUCUUACCAAUGUCUUUCGUCCUCCAGGUGCUGCCGGCAGCCUUGAGGUGCAGGGGCCCUGCCUCCCACUCCAGGGCAGCCUGCUGAAGCCCAUGGUUCCCAGCUGCCUGUUGGCUGGCCUAGAAGCUGUGGCCCCACUCUGCGAUUCUGGGUCUUGGCUGGAAGUUUCAGAAGCACACGCAGCAGUGACUUCCUCCUUGCGGUGGCGACUGGAUCAGCAACUGCCAGGACAGUAAUGAGAUCCCCCAAGAACGGUUGCUGGCAGCCCACUACCGCUGUUGCUGGGGGCUGAGGGUUGAGUGGGUCUGAGUGCUUGCCUGUGAGCAAUUCAGAGCCCCAAGAGAUUCCCAAAGAAACUGCUGCUCUGAGGUUAUUCAUCUGAUGGGAAGACGCUGGUGAGAAAAGACAACAUUUCUGACUCCAGAGACAUCCCUGGCCCUUUCUACUGUGCAAGGACAUAGUGAGAAGGUACCAGCUAUGAACCAAGAAGUGGGCCCUCACAAGAACCUGACCAUGCUGGCACUCUGAUCUUGGGUUUCCAGUUUCCAGAACUGUGAGAAAUAAAUUCCUGUUGUUAUAAGCAACAUUCCUUUGACAGACGAGAAAAUGGACCUACUGACUUUGUGACUUUCCUGAAGCCACAUAGAAGACGAGAUCUUAGUUCUCUUGGGCACAGAUCCAGGGCUCUUUCCAGCCUGCCCUACUCUGUCAGGAGUCAGAAAGGAGUGCAGGCUGACCUGCUCUCCUCAGAAACUUGCCUGCAGAGUCACAAAGUCUCCUCUCACAGAUUCAUCCCCUGUGAACACACAUUGCAGAAGGUGAUUCAGAAGUUUCAAGUCGAACAUCACAAAGUGGUUGUAAUUGAUGGAUAUCCAUAACCCACGAUGGUGGGUGGCUGUCCUUUUGUUUAUUCUUUCUAGUCUUUUAAGGCAAUGGCACCCCACUCCAGUACUCUUGCCUGGAAAAUCCCAUGGACGGAGGAGUCUGGUAGGCUGCAGUCCACGAGGUCGCUAGGAGUUGGACAUGACUGAAGUGACGUAGCAGCAGCAGCAGUCUUUUUAAUAUGUUAUUUUAUGUGUGCUUGUUUAGAUAUACAACUAAUAUAGGUUCAUUGAAGAACUAUUUGAAGAAACAGGUAAAACAAAAAGUUAAAAAUGAAAAUUCCCAUAAUCUCACUGUGACUAACAUUUUAGGGAUGUAUUACUCAUCUGUUGCUGCAUAAUAGAUUACCCCAAAACUUAGUGGUUUAAAACAAAAGAUGUUCAUCAUUUUGCCGUUUUUAUGGGUCAGGAAUUUGGGAGCAGCUUAGUUGAGCGGUUCUGGCUCAGGAGCUCUCAUAAGGUUGGAACCAUAUGAAUGAGAUUAACCUAGGGCUGGAGGAUCUGAUUCCAAGGUGACUCACUCACCAGUCUGUUGGCUGGAGGCCUUAGUUCCCCCGCACAUGGAUUCUCUGUAGGACUGCUUGAGUAUCUUCGCAGCAUGGCAACUGGCUUCUGCCCGAACAAGUGAUGCAAGGGGAAGAGCAAAGAGGAGGCUGCAGUAUCAUUUAUGACCUAGUCUUGAAAGUCACACCCUGUCCCUUCCACCACACUCUUAUUUGUUAGAAGAAAAUCACUAAGUCAAGUCCAUACUCAAGGGGAGAGGAUUUAACUUCCAACUCUUGAAAGAAAAAGAAUUUUUUUGGAAAAAGAACAAAGGACAUAUAUUAAAAAUAUCACAGAGAAUCUCUAGUCAUCACGAAGCAACUAAGCCUGUGUGCCACAACGAUUGAGCCUGUGCUCUAGAAUCUGGGAGCCCCUGGGAGCUGUGACUACUGAGCUGGCGUGCUACAGCUACUGAAGCCUGUAUGUCUAGAGCCUGUGCUCCACAACCAGAGAUGGUACCACAACGAGAAGCCCUCAAAUGGCAAUGAAGAAUAGUCCCUGCUCACUGCGACUAGAGAGAGCCCAUGCACAGCAACAAGACCCAAUGCAACCAAAAAAUGUGUAUAAAAAUAUGUGUAUACAGCUGCAAAUCUUGUUAGAAACAAUUUCAGACAUAGUAAAUAUAUAUAUAUACCUGGUACAGUAUUGGUAUGAAUCACAUGAGUUAAUAUAAUUAAAGAACUUAUAUCUUGACUAUCACAGGAUAAGCAGUAUGUGUUAGCUUUUAUCAUGUCAGCAAGGUUAUUUUAAAAAUAUAUUAAUGGCUUCUGAAUACAUUAUUAUAUGUGCAUUCUGUACUUUAAUCCUAUUAUUAGACAUUUAGGUCAUUUAUCAUGUUUUUAUUACUGUGACACAAUAAAAAAUAUCUGGUCUCCAAACACAUUUGGAGUCAGAAAUGUUG